AGCCCGGUGGUGUAGCGGCAAGCAUAGCGCGGCUCCCCCCCCCGAGGCCGGGGUUCGAAUCCCCGCCGGGCUACCA
This 76-nucleotide transfer RNA is filed under the name Thermofilum sp. RNAcentral describes it as "tRNA-Gly". It matches the Rfam family "tRNA". From Rfam's summary of the family: Transfer RNA (tRNA) molecules are approximately 80 nucleotides in length. Their secondary structure includes four short double-helical elements and three loops (D, anti-codon, and T loops). The record is from RNAcentral. Lineage: Archaea; Thermoproteati; Thermoproteota; Thermoprotei; Thermofilales; Thermofilaceae.